RNAcentral lists this transfer RNA (72 nucleotides) under Chloroflexota bacterium. Its description in RNAcentral is "Chloroflexi bacterium tRNA-Thr". It matches the Rfam family "tRNA". Rfam says of the family: Transfer RNA (tRNA) molecules are approximately 80 nucleotides in length. Their secondary structure includes four short double-helical elements and three loops (D, anti-codon, and T loops). Lineage: Bacteria; Bacillati; Chloroflexota. The record is from RNAcentral. RNAcentral also lists the same sequence under 1 other name.
GCCGGGAUAGUUCAGCGGUAGAACGCGGGUUUUGUAAACCCGUUGUCGGGGGUUCGAUUCCCCCUCCCGGCU